UCUGUGAUGUCACCUUGAGUUGGAACUUUAUCCUACACUUGAUGGGCUCCUCUCCUGAGUGGGAAGGCAAGGAAAUAGGGGCUUACCACCCAAAAGAUGGGAGGCAGAAGAUACCCACCUGAGUUGCCCAGAGCCCACAGUGUUUGCUUUCUCACCACUCCGGACUCCACCUUUGAGCUCUUUGCGAGAGAUGUGGAUAUCCAGCUUUGAACAAUCCAAGAAAGAAGCCCAGGCACUAAGCUUAUUGGUAUUUGGCAAACCUGGUAUCCUGCAGCCGAGCAUGAACAUGAAAUACAUUAGAACUUGGCAAUGAGAGAUCCCAUCUGUUGGUUUCCAGGGAUGUAAGUGAGUAAUAAAAGCUGUUUCAAGUUUAUCCACUAUCC
RNAcentral lists this long non-coding RNA (383 nucleotides) under Pan troglodytes (chimpanzee). Its description in RNAcentral is "long non-coding RNA NONPTRT017027". The record is from RNAcentral. Lineage: Eukaryota; Metazoa; Chordata; Mammalia; Primates; Hominidae.